RNAcentral lists this long non-coding RNA (722 nucleotides) under Triticum aestivum (bread wheat). Its description in RNAcentral is "long non-coding RNA (TAES_LNC026639)". Lineage: Eukaryota; Viridiplantae; Streptophyta; Magnoliopsida; Poales; Poaceae. The record is from RNAcentral.
AAAAUCACUUGAACUUGCAUACACCACACAUACCGAGUCAAAUAUUCACUGUUAGUAUUGAUGUUAUAACAUGUUCUUACAAAGAUGCAAAUUGGACUAGUGAUUUCACAAAUUGCCACCAGCGCGAGUUGAGCUGAGUUGCUAAUUAACGAACGACGACGAGCACAAUGGCCAUCUAGGAAACAAACUAGUAGUAGUGCGUAGGGUAAAUUUCCCAAAUGCGUAAUUUAUUCGGCCCCAAACUUGAGAUGCUGCUUAUAACAUUAGUUCAGGAAGACAAGUACGUUGAAUUGCAGGACCUCUCCUCUUCUCCUUUCUGAAGAAACAAUUACGUUGAAUUGCGGUACAGUGGGCAACCGGAGAAAGGAGACCAAGAGAAGGGGAGAGAAGAGAAGUUCUUACAUUUUGUCCAUGGCAUUGGAGCAGCGGUGUCCCGAGAAGGGAAGAAGGAAGCACACGGAGCACCUGCGCAUGAGGAAACCGCAUCAGCGAGGGGAGCGGCCAAAUCGAAACCACCCAACACCAAUAGUUUAUGCAUGAGGACCUCUCUCUCUCUCCUCUUCUCAUCUCUGAAGAAAUAAUUACUUGUUGCGGAGGUACAGUAAGCAACCGGAGAAAGGAGAGGAACGGAGGGUGAGGGGAGAGAAGAGAAGUGCUUACAUUUGUCCACGGCGUCGGAGCAGCAGUGUCCCGGGAAGGGAAGAAGAAAGCACACGAAACAC